This 253-nucleotide ribosomal RNA is filed under the name uncultured bacterium. RNAcentral's name for it is "partial 16S ribosomal RNA". It matches the Rfam family "Bacterial small subunit ribosomal RNA", at positions 524 to 776 of the family's 1533-position model. The record is from RNAcentral.
UACGUAGGGUGCAAGCGUUAUCCGGAAUUAUUGGGCGUAAAGAGCUCGUAGGCGGUUUGUCGCGUCUGCUGUGAAAACCGGAGGCUCAACCUCCGGCCUGCAGUGGGUACGGGCAAACUAGAGUGCGGUAGGGGAGAUUGGAAUUCCUGGUGUAGCGGUGGAAUGCGCAGAUAUCAGGAGGAACACCGAUGGCGAAGGCAGAUCUCUGGGCCGUAACUGACGCUGAGGAGCGAAAGCUAGGGGAGCAAACGGG